Molecule: long non-coding RNA, 2569 nt
Organism: Mauremys mutica (yellowpond turtle)
Lineage: Eukaryota; Metazoa; Chordata; Testudines; Geoemydidae
Exons: 7
Source: RefSeq, a predicted model, not a curated record
UGUGAAGACUCGGACGGGGGGUGGCAGUGGGGGGUAAAUAGGAGCCUAUAUAAGAAAAGACCCCAAAAUCAGGAUUGUCUCGAUUUUAUAGGGAUAUCAGGUCACCCUAUAGGUGAGGGCUGUGUAAGAGAAAGGAGCUAUUCAUGACCCUGGAAUUCACUGUCACAAACAGCCCCAGCUGGUGACUCCAGAUCUGGAGUGUAAUUUGACUCAUUUGAGAGUUUAGAGUCAGCCAGAGCCUUCCCCCUACAGCUCCCUUGGAGGGGGAGGGGCAUGAGACAGGUCACUUUGCACAAAUGACAAGGUGGUGACGACCCGCGACUCUGUUGUGAUGCAGUGAUUGUUAGGUCAGCCCCCAGGGGCUGCAGCAUUUCACACCAGGCUGUCGCCCAGAGCACAUGGCUGCUGCCUGUGGGUCUGAGUACAGGGACCAGGGUGAUGAAGCAGGGUCUUCUGGGACCAACCUGCUUCCAUUGCUAAAGGGAACGUGAGACACAGAAGGAUGAAGGAAAGUAUUCUUGUCCAACUGCAACGUAAUCUCUUCUUUCUGUUGAUUUGAUCACUGCAGCUUGUCUGUCAGAAGUAGUAAGAGAACCUGUUCCUAUCAAGAGGUAAGGAAUGCACCUUCUCCUAGCAAUGGAGUGGAAACUAACCAAUCUCAGUGUACUUUCAGGUGAAGGAAGUGAAUCUAUCCUUUGCUGUCAAAGGCUACAAGCAGUUUCAUAACAGUAAAGCAAGAUACAUAACCAAAGCUUCUGAGAGGUUACAGAAGUAUUGACUUGCUCUAGCCAAGAAUAAGGAAACCACUUAUACCUACCAGAUUAACAAUACAGCUGAUUGUAUGGAGAGAAAGAGAGAAACCAAUCCAGCAAUUCAUCACACAGAAGAAGGUCAUAUUUCAAGAUGCAAGGAUGACACAUGGCUGUAGUUUACAGGAAGGAAUUAGCGGAUCCAUCCUUUUAAGGAGGUAAGAAAUAUGGGAAUGGUGUAUUGUAAUAGUCAAUGGUUCUUGUCAUACUUUCAGGUGGAAGGAAGGUAACUGAUGAAAUCUUCCUCUCUAAAGAGCACAAGAAGUUGCUGUACUGAAUAAAGCAAUAAAAAUGGGAGCUACCUGUUCAGAUGAAAGCAAAGUAGUUAGUAAUUCUAACCAAUGAUGAUGAUCUCUGCUCCUUUUCCCUUCCCAGAGAAGGCCAUUGGUUGUUCCUACAAGGAUGUAACAGGGAAGUUAUUUCAAAGAACAAGUGCAACUAACCAGAGUGUGAAAAUGAGCAUUGAGCCUGCUCUUGCAUUUGCAGAGAGGAGUUGUCCAGCUGAUUCUAUUUGUGCCUAAUUGAUCAUUGUUGCUUAUUUUUCAGAUGUCAAGAACUAAGUGGAACUGAUCAUUUCUAUCAAGAGGUAAGGAACGCACCUCCUCACAGCAUGGAGGCACAAAUUAAAGGCUCUGUUUCUAUUUUCAGGUGAAAGGAAGGUCUUACCAUUCAAGGGAGGAUGAGAGGCUGCUGAAUUUAAGAAAAAAGAAGAAGUCAGACAGGUAACAAUACUUGGCCAAAUGGAAAACCAUCUUUUACUUCUAGUUCAGAAAAAGGCAAGCAGCCAUUUAUAAGCUUCAGGUUUUUAACCAGUGUAGCUGACUUUACCUCUAAGAAUCAAAGCCUUGCGGUGGAACAUGACUGACAAGUAGAUGAGCACUGAAAGGUCUCUAGAAGCCUAAUGAUCUGGAUGCUAAGGAACUUUCUCCAUUGAUGACUCUUCAUAGCUGGCAAUGAGUAAUAAUAAAUAAAUCUGUCAAACACUGAUUGCAGGUUUUGCUCUUCUGAGAUAUGAAGAGACCAGGUGGUCAUUCCUACCAGGGAGAAGUGAGGCUCAGUGGCAUGGCUGUCCUGGGCAAGGAGACAAAAAAGCCACUUCAAAUAGUUCAGCUAGUCGCAAAUCUCAAUCAAGUCAGCAGAACAUCACAGACAUGGAGAUGAGAGAAAUGCAGCCGAGUUGAACGUUGAGGGUGUGAAAACUUCAGGAAGUUGCUAGAAGAUUUGGGAUAUCUACAGAAAGGAAACAAGCAAAACUCGUCACUGCUACCAAGAGGAGGAGAGAGUUACAGAUGCUCAGGAUUUGACUACAAAGGAACAGGAAUGGAGUUGAACAGAUCCAACACCUGAAAGGACGAUUGGAUCUCAAAAUGAGAGACCCUUCAUUCAAUAAAGCAACAGGAUUGGCUCUGAGGAGAGGCAAGAGCCAGCGUGGACAGUAUUCAAAACACAAUAUUCAAAAGUUGCUGCUGGGAUGGAAGCAAAGAAGAAAGCCCUGGAGACAGGUUAGUGCUGGGACACAGACACUAUCCUGGAGGGGCCUGGGACAGGGUGUGUAACCAUAGCGACCAGUGGGUCCUUUCCCCACUGUGGUCCUGGCUCGCAUGCACAGGGUGUAACCGAUCGCCAUGUUUGGGGUCAGGAAGGAAUUUUCCUCCAGGGCAGAUUGGCCAGAGAUCCUGGAGGUUUUUCGCCUUCCUCUGGGGCAUCGAGCAGGGACCAGCCCUUAGGGCCAUUUAGGAACAGACAUAAUAAAAUCCAUC